Molecule: ribosomal RNA, 497 nt
Filed under: uncultured bacterium
Lineage: Bacteria
Description: partial 16S ribosomal RNA
Rfam family: Bacterial small subunit ribosomal RNA
Source: RNAcentral
GAUGAACGCUGGCGGCGUGCCUAAUACAUGCAAGUCGAGCGAACAGACGAGGAGCUUGCUCCUCUGACGUUAGCGGCGGACGGGUGAGUAACACGUGGAUAACCUACCUAUAAGACUGGGAUAACUUCGGGAAACCGGAGCUAAUACCGGAUAAUAUAUUGAACCGCAUGGUUCAAUAGUGAAAGACGGUUUUGCUGUCACUUAUAGAUGGAUCCGCGCCGCAUUAGCUAGUUGGUAAGGUAACGGCUUACCAAGGCAACGAUGCGUAGCCGACCUGGGAGGGUGAUCGGCCACACUGGAACUGAGACACGGUCCAGACUCCUACGGGAGGCAGCAGUAGGGAAUCUUCCGCAAAGGGCGAAAGCUUGACGGAGCAACGCCGCGUGAGUGAUGAAGGUCUUCGGAUCGUAAAACUCUGUUAUUAGGGAAGAACAAAUGUGUAAGUAACUAUGCACGUCUUGACGGUACCUAAUCAGAAAGCCACGGCUAACUACGUG